AUACGUAGGGGGCAAGCGUUAUCCGGAUUUACUGGGCGUAAAGGGCGUGUAGGCGGUCUUGCAAGUCAGAAGUGAAAUUCCUGAGCUCAACUCGGGCGCUGCUUCUGAAACUGCAGGACUUGAGUGCUGGAGGGGCUAGCGGAAUUCCUAGUGGAGCGGUAAAAUGCGCAGAUAUUAGGAAGAACACCGGUGGCGAAGGCGGCUAUCUGGACAGUAACUGACGCUGAGGCGCGAAAGCGUGGGGAGCAAACAGGAUUAGAUACCCUGGUAGUCCACGCUGUAAACGAUGGAUACUAGGUGUGGGGGGUCUGACCCCUUCCGUGCCGGAGUUAACACAAUAAGUAUCCCACCUGGGGAGUACGAUCGCAAGAUUGAAACUCAAAUGAAUUGACGGGG
This 396-nucleotide ribosomal RNA is filed under the name uncultured bacterium. RNAcentral's name for it is "partial 16S ribosomal RNA". It matches the Rfam family "Bacterial small subunit ribosomal RNA", at positions 523 to 918 of the family's 1533-position model. The record is from RNAcentral.